UCCUACGGGAGGCAGCAGUGGGGAAUAUUGCACAAUGGGGGAAACCCUGAUGCAGCGACGCCGCGUGAAGGAAGAAGUAUCUCGGUAUGUAAACUUCUAUCGGCAGGGAAGAAAACGGACGGUACCUGACUAAGAAGCCCCGGCUAACUACGUGCCAGCAGCCGCGGUAAUACGUAGGGGGCGAGCGUUAUCCGGGUUUACUGGGUGUAAAGGGAGCGUAGACGGCUGGGCAAGCCUGAUGUGGAAGGCGGGGGCGGAACCCUCGGCCUGCCU
RNAcentral lists this ribosomal RNA (273 nucleotides) under uncultured bacterium. RNAcentral's name for it is "partial 16S ribosomal RNA". It matches the Rfam family "Bacterial small subunit ribosomal RNA", at positions 337 to 626 of the family's 1533-position model. The record is from RNAcentral.